This 119-nucleotide ribosomal RNA is filed under the name Opisthocomus hoazin. The record is from RNAcentral. Lineage: Eukaryota; Metazoa; Chordata; Aves; Opisthocomiformes; Opisthocomidae.
GCCUCUGGCCAUACCACCCUGAGAACGCCUGAUCUCAUCUGAUCUGUGAACUUAAGCAGGGUUGGGCCCGGUUAGUACUUGGAUGGGAGACAGCCUAGGAAUACCGGGUGCUGUAUGCU